Molecule: long non-coding RNA, 195 nt
Organism: Helianthus annuus (common sunflower)
Lineage: Eukaryota; Viridiplantae; Streptophyta; Magnoliopsida; Asterales; Asteraceae
Exons: 3
Source: RefSeq, a predicted model, not a curated record
UUUAGCUUUUUUACCGCCCUCUAUGCAACUUGAUCUUCUAGUGCAAAUGAGAGAACGGUUGGUGGCAGAGAACCGGAAAAAGUAUUAAAAAGUUAAGGGGAUUAACGAAGUGCAGAAAGUAGCUGGUGGAAGGGGAGUUGGUGGUGUUCAGAUUUCACUCACAGAUAGCAUCCAAAGCUAACAAAGUAUUUAUUA